GAUGAAGAACGUAGCGAAAUGCGAUAAGUAAUGCGAAUUGCAGAAUCCGUGAGUCAUCGAAUCUUUGAACGCACAUUGCGCCCGCCAGUAUUCUGGCGGGCAUGCCUGUCCGAGCGUCAUUUCAACCCUCGCGCCCAUCUGGGCUGCGGUGUUGGGGACCGGCCUGCCCCCCUAGGGGGCGCGCCGCCCCCCAAAAUCAGUGGCGGUCUCGCUGCAGCCUCCCUUGCGUAGUAGCACACCUCGCACCGGAGCGCAGCGCGGCCACGCCGUAAAACCCCCGACCCCCAUGAGUUUGACCUCGGAUCAGGUAGGAAUACCCGCUGAACUUAAGCAUAUCAAUAAGCGGAGGA
RNAcentral lists this unclassified non-coding RNA (350 nucleotides) under soil metagenome. Its description in RNAcentral is "partial contains 5.8S ribosomal RNA, internal transcribed spacer 2, and large subunit ribosomal RNA". The stretch from base 1 to 119 matches the Rfam family "5.8S ribosomal RNA", at positions 35 to 154 of the family's 154-position model. The record is from RNAcentral.